Molecule: ribosomal RNA, 476 nt
Filed under: uncultured bacterium
Lineage: Bacteria
Description: partial 16S ribosomal RNA
Rfam family: Bacterial small subunit ribosomal RNA
Source: RNAcentral
GAUCAACGCUGGCGGCGUGCAUAACACAUGCAAGUCGAACGAUGAAGAUUAAAAGAUUUCUUCGGAAUGAACUUAAUUGGAUUAGUGGCGGACGGGUGAGUAACGCGUGAGUAACCUGCCUUGUACAAGGGGAUAGCCGUUGGAAACGACGAAUAAUACCCAUUGACAUCAAUAAAUCCAUUGAUAUUUUAUUAAAGAUUUAUCGGUAUAAGAUGGACUCGCGUCUGAUUAGCUAGUUGGUAGAGUAAAAGCCUACCAAGGCAACGAUCAGUAGCCGGCUUGAGAGAGUGUACGGCCACAUUGGGACUGAGACACGGCCCAGACUCCUACGGGAGGCAGCAGUGGGGAAUUUUGCACAAUGGGGGAAACCCUGAUGCAGCGACGCCGCGUGAUUUAGAAGGCCUUCGGGUUGUAAAAAUCUUUUGUAUGGGAAGAAAAUGACAGUACCAUACGAAUAAGGACCGGCUAAUUACGUG